CGCUGGCGGCAUGCUUAACACAUGCAAGUUGAACGUAAUUUCUUGGCUUGCCAAGGAGGUUAGUGGCAAACGGGUGAGUAACACGUAGGAAUCUACCUGGUAGUACGGAAUAACAAUUGGAAACGAUUGCUAAUACCGUAUAUCCUCUAAGGAGGAAAGAUUUAUCGCUAUCAGAUGAGCCCGCGGUAGAUUAGGUAGUUGGUGAGGUAAUGGCUCACCAAGCCGACGAUCUAUAGCUGGUCUGAGAGGACGAUCAGCCACACUGGAACUGAGGCACGGUCCAGACUCCUACGGGAGGCAGCAGUGGGGAAUAUUGGACAAUGGGCGCAAGCCUGAUCCAGCAAUGCCGCGUGAGUGAAGAAGGCCUUAGGGUUGUAAAGCUCUUUCAAUAGGGAAGAUAAUGACGGUACCUAUAAAAGAAGUUCCGGCUAACUCCGUG
Molecule: ribosomal RNA, 439 nt
Filed under: uncultured bacterium
Lineage: Bacteria
Description: bacterial SSU rRNA
Rfam family: Bacterial small subunit ribosomal RNA
Source: RNAcentral